This 228-nucleotide long non-coding RNA is filed under the name Elaeis guineensis (African oil palm). RNAcentral's name for it is "long non-coding RNA (EGUI_LNC014500)". Lineage: Eukaryota; Viridiplantae; Streptophyta; Magnoliopsida; Arecales; Arecaceae. The record is from RNAcentral.
GGGUGAGAGUACAAAUGGUUGUUAGAGAACAACUAGCACUAAGUGUGACUAUCACGAAAAAUCACUUGAAUGACUACUCUCUCGUCAGUGAUUGUCUCGAUACUGCAGUGGUGUGAGUGAUCCUUUGACCUGCAGUGUCAUCGACUAUUCCAGCAAGUUUACUGAGUUUGACUGCAUAUUUUUUUGAUUCCUAAUCAUUCGAAUCCUUAUUGUGUAUGAUGGGAUCUG